AACGGCGAGUGAAGCGGGAAGAGCUCAAAUUUAAAAUCUGGCUUGCUUGCAAGUCCGAGUUGUAGUCUGAAGAAGCGUUUUCCAUGAAAGCUGAGGCACAAGUCCUUUGGAACAGGGCAUCAUAGAGGGUGAGAAUCCCGUCCAUGGUCUCAUGCAUUUCAUUUUGUGAUACGUUUUCUAAGAGUCAGGUUGUUUGGGAAUGCAGCCUAAAAUGGGUGGUAAAUUUCAUCUAAAGCUAAAUAUUGGCGAGAGACCGAUAGCGAACAAGUACCGUGAGGGAAAGAUGAAAAGAACUUUGAAAAGAGAGUUAAAAAGUACGUGAAAUUGUUGAAAGGGAACCGUUUGAAGCCAGUCUUGCUUACUUGUGAUCAAUCUUAGCUUCGGCUUGGAUGCACUCUCAAGUUAUGCAGGUCAACGUCAGUUUGAGAGGUGGGAAAAAAGUUUGAGGAAUGUGGCCUUCGGGUGUUAUAGCCUCUUACUAAAUACCAUCUCCUGGACUGAGGCUCGCAGCAAAAAUGUGGGCUGGUUUGCUCCUGAGGUGAAUCAUUAUUAAGACAGCUUGCUGACUUAGUUUUGUGGAUCUUCACGGUAGGCUAGCUUCUAAUUUGCUUAGGUCGUUGACAUAAUGGCUUUAAAU
This 637-nucleotide ribosomal RNA is filed under the name Umbelopsis sp. Its description in RNAcentral is "LSU rRNA". It matches the Rfam family "Eukaryotic large subunit ribosomal RNA", at positions 85 to 645 of the family's 3401-position model. The record is from RNAcentral. Lineage: Eukaryota; Fungi; Mucoromycota; Umbelopsidomycetes; Umbelopsidales; Umbelopsidaceae.